UUAGCCACUUGUGCAUUCACUGCUGGGAACCUGAAGUGAUCUGCUGCUUUCAGAACCAGAGAACAGAAACAGGGAAUUAUCUGGUAGUUGGAUAUGGGUCUGCUUAAAACCUCCCAUUCCAUUUGAACAACUUUGUCAAACUCUGGAGGGAAUAUGGAAUGCCAGGGGAGGUGGCUCUGCCCUACGGAAAAGCUCAAGAGUUGGAAAGGAUUACCAGGAUCAUCUAGUCCAACCCUCAUCAAUGCAGGAACUGCAGUUGUCUCUCUGAUAAAUAGGUCAGUUCUUGAAAACCUCCAAUAAUGAAGGAUCCAUCACUUCACAAGGGAGACUGUCAUAUACGACUGCCUGCAUAUCUGCCAUGAAUGUAUCCUGUGUUCUGUACUGGUCCUCUGAGGGCACGAGAAGUUUCUUAUUGGUGUUAAGGCAGUGGGUUAUUUCACAAGUAUUUACUUUCUCUUUCCUCGCUGCUUCCAGAAGUGUCCUUGAAAGCUGGUUGCAGCCAGCUUGAAAUGUAUCUUUCUUGGGAACUGAGAUGAUUUCAUUCUUUGUUCUGUCUAGUCUAAACCUAGCUUUUCCCUGACAACCCCCGUGGCUCUUUCACACCCACAAACUUUAACGGCCCUUAUCCUGAUGGUGGGAACGUUCCCUAUAACUAACAUCACCAACCCCAGUUCCGUCACUUCUGCCAAUGCACAUGUCUGAGCACCUUGAACUUGCUGGAUCUCUAAUAAAGUUACUUCCACCAAUA
Eublepharis macularius is the source of this 748-nucleotide long non-coding RNA. RefSeq lists it as uncharacterized. The record is from RefSeq and is a predicted model, not a curated record. The transcript is spliced from 2 exons. NCBI's taxonomy places the organism in Eukaryota, Metazoa, Chordata, Lepidosauria, Squamata, Eublepharidae.